RNAcentral lists this small RNA (312 nucleotides) under Histoplasma capsulatum var. duboisii H88. RNAcentral's name for it is "Histoplasma capsulatum H88 hypothetical RNA". Lineage: Eukaryota; Fungi; Ascomycota; Eurotiomycetes; Onygenales; Ajellomycetaceae. The record is from RNAcentral.
CAUAAACCUGCCAUCUAGGUUUUAAGGCUUGUCAUUGUUAUAGAACUAAUUUCAACAGCACGAGGGUUAGGAGGAACCUCAUUUUUGAGGAGGCGAAUAACAGUGGUGAUAUAUUUACUCCCGCCUCAAUCAGGCCAUGAAGCUGAGAAGUGUGAAAAACAAAAGAAAAAAAGAAAAAAGAAAAAAAAGAAAAAAAAAAUCACUGUUCCAUUUCUCCCGUAAACACAAACUUAAAGACAUCUCAAAUUCAUAGCUCGCUAUAGAUGACUUCCGGCUUAGGCCAUAAUUUUCCAGCCAGUGCAACAAUGCACA